UGGGGAAGUGUAUCUAUUACUCACAGUUCCCAAGAGGAGGGGCUUGCCAGGCCUCUCAGGGAUGCACAGAGAAGUGCCAAUGUCACAAAGGAGAGGGGGUGAUGAGGAAAUAGGAAGAAAAUACCAUUUACAGUUACAAUUAAAAAAUAAAAUAUCUGGGAAUAAAUUUAAUCAAUGAUGUGAAAGCCCAUACACUAAAAACUAUAAGGCACUGUUGAAUGAAAUUGAAGAAGACAUAAAGAAAUGGACAUAUAUUCUAAGCUCAUGGUCUGCAAGAACUAACAUAGUUAAAAUGUCCAUAUUACAUAACACAAUCUUCAGGUUCAAUGAAACCCCAAAGAAGAAUCCCAACAACAUUUUUCAUGGAAAUAAAACAAAGAAUCUUAAAAUUUAUAUGGAACAGGAAAAGACCCUGAAAGCCCAAAGCAAUCCUAAGAAAAAAGAACAAAGCUGGAGUUAUCAUACUCCCUGAUUUCAAAACCUACUACAAAGCUAUAGUUAUCAAAACAGCAUGGAACUGGCACAAAAACAGACACAGAUUGAUGGAAGAGAAUUGAGAGGCCAAAAAUUAACCCACACAUCUGUGGACAGUUAAUUUUCAACAAAGGAGCAAAGAAUAUGCAAUGGAGAAAGGAAAGUCUUUCCAAGAACUUUUGAUCUUUGAAUAUGUUAUUUUAUAGCAAAGAGAGUUUAAGGUAGCAAGUUGGAUAAGGUUGCUAAUAAACUGACCUUAAAAAUAUUAGCAUUGCUUUGCAGGUGGAACUAACUUAGUCACACGGUUCUUUAAAUACAGAAGAGAGAGACAGAAGAAUUAAAGUGAGAGAGAGACUUGAAAUUGUUUAACUGCUGGUUUUAAAGUUAAGGGAAGAGCCAUGAGCCGAGGCAUGCGGGUGGCCGCUAGACCUGGAAGAGAAGAGCAGUCUGAUUCUCACCUGGAGCCUCCAGAAGGAACCAGGAUGUGCAGACCUCGUUGUUUUACGCCAGUAAGACUCCUUUCAGGCUUCUGACAUCCAGGAUUGUAAGACGAAAUUUUGUUGUUGUUGUUAAAUUGACUAGUGUGGUAAUUUUUUAUAGCAGCAAAAUAAAUCUAAUACGUUCAUUUAUCUGAUGAAAUUUUGUUUAAGGAACCUGAAUUUAAGCCUCUCAAUUUAUUUAGCCUCCUUCGGGUAAAUCAUUUGGUGUUGGUUUUCCUCCUCAAGUAGAAGUAGAAAUCUAAAAUCAGUUUGGAGAUAUUGAUCCUCAUUAUCUGAUUCAGAGAAUUUCAUAUUUUAGAAACGAAAAUGUGGUUCUGACUUUGAGGUUUGUGAGACACUAAGAUAGAAAAAGUAAUUCAUUUUUAAAUUUUGGGUCACCUAGUCUACUUUAAAUCCUGGAUCUAAAUUUCUACAUUUCUUUAAUGUCAUGUUAAUUUAAAUGUUCAUCCUUUCAUUCCUAUACCCUCCAAUUUUCUUUCAAGUUGCCAGUAAGCAUUAAAGAAGGGAUAAUACAUGCACCUGGGUAUGUACAUAUGUGUGCAUGUGGUUAUUUGAAAGACAAUAUGUACAAACACACCCCUACAUGAAGACACAUCUUCCUCUUGAACAUUUUCUUGGGACUCAACAAAGUAUUUCCACAAAUUUCGUUUACUUCUUUAAACAUUUACCUAAAGUUAUAUUUAUUAUCUCAUAUUACAUUGAGAAAAGAGGAAAUUGAAGCUAGGGAGUUUAAAAUUUUAGGAAUUACGUGAUGACAUUGAAAGCUUACUGUGCAUACUCUUGGAUAUAUGCAAAAAGAGUCAGGCACUAAGUGCUGUCCUCUUUUGUAUGGCUAGUUCAAAUCUGCAAAUUACACAUUUUAUUUAAUUUUAUCUUUUUCCAGCUCUAUUGAGAUAUAAUUGACAUGUAACAUUGAGUAGGGGUACAAUGUUAUGAUUUGAUAUAGACACAUUAUGCAAUAUGAUUGCCACAAUAAGGUGAGCUAACACCUCCAUCACCUCAGGGACUCAGUCUUUUCUCUAUGGGUUAGAACAUUUAGGAUAUAUUCUCUUCACAACUUUUAGGUAUGUAGUACACCUUGGCUCACUAUAGCCUCGAUGCUGUAAAUUAGAUCCUUAAAAUGUAUUCAUUUUAUAGCUGAAAGUUUGAGCAUGAGUAUUCUACUUAUUUGCAUUUGUUUAAUUUUUUAGAUUCCACAUACAUGUGAUAUCAUACAGUAUUUUCUUUUGCUGUCUGACAUUUCACAUAGAAUAAUAUCCUCAAUGUGCCUCCAUGUUGUUGCAAAUGGCAGGAUUGUCUUCUUGUGGCUGAAUAAUUUUCCAUUAUAUAUAUUUAUACACAAACACACACAUAUAAAUGUAUGUAUAUAUAUCACAUUUUCCUUAUUCAUUCAUCCAAUGAUGGACACUUAGGUAUUUUCUAUGUUGUAGAUAUUGUGAAUAAUGCUGCAAUAAACAUGGGGGAGCAGACAUCUCUUUGGGAUUGCAAUUUAGUUUCCUUUGGAUAUGUACCCAGAAGUGGGAUUGCAGCAUCACACGGUAGUUCUAUUUUUAUUUUUAUUUUUUUGAGAAAUCUCAUACUGUUUCACAUAGUGGCUGUAUCAAUUUACCUUCUAACAAACAGUGCACAAAAAGUUUACUUUUCUCCACAUCCUUGCCAACAGUAUUUAUCUCGAGGAUUUCGGAUAAUAGACAUUCUAACAGGCGUGAAGUAAUAGCUCAUUGUGGUUUUGAUUUACAUUUCCAUGAUGAUUACUGACGUUGAGCAUCUUUUCAUGUAACUUCUGCAUUUAUGUGUCUUUUUGGAAAAAUGUCCAUUCAGUUCCUCUGUGCGUUUUCUAAUUGGAUUAUUUGUGUUUUGCUAUUAAUUUGUAUGUUUCUUAUAUGUUUUGGUUAUUAACCCCUUAUCAGAUCCAAAGUUUGAAAAUAUUUUCCCAAAGUCCAUAUGCUACCUUUUCAUUUUGUUGAUUGUUACUUUUGCUGUGCGAAAGAAUUUUAGUUUGAUGUUGUUCCACUUGUUUACAUUAACUUCUGUUGCUUGUGUUUUUGGUGUCAUAUCCAAAAAACUAUGGCUCAAACCAAUGUCAAAGAGAUUUUUUCCCUAUAUUUUGGUCUAAAUUUGUUAUGGUUUCAGAUCUUAUGUUAGAGUUUUAAAUCUAUUUGGAGCCAGUAUUUGUGAGAGAUGUCGGAUAGGAGUCCAAUUUUAUUCUUUUGCAUGUGACUAUCCAGUUUUCCCAGCACCAUUUAUUGAAGAGACAGUCCUUUCCUCAUUGAUUAUUCUGGCUCUCUUAUAAAUGUAGUGGCCCAUAUACACAUGGGUUUAUUUCUGGGCUCACAAUUGGGUUCUAUUUGUCUAUGUUGCUCUUUUUAUGUCAGUACUAUACUGUUUUUCUUUUUACUAAUAAUUUUUAUUGAGUUUAUGAUAGUUUACAAUCUUGUAAAAUUUUAGCUGUAGAUUAUUGUUUGUCAGUCACGUUGUAGGUGCACCCCUUCACCCUUUGUGCCCACCCCUCCUUUCCUCUGUUAGCGACUAAUCAGUUCUCUUUGUCUAAAUGUUUAAAUUCCACAUAUGAGUGAAGUCAUAUAGAGAUUGUCUUUCUCUAUCUGGCUUAUUUCACUUAACAUAAUUCAUUCAAGGUCCAUCCUUGUUGUUAUGAAUGGGUCAAUUUUAUUCUUUUUUAUGGCUGAGUAGUAUUCCAUUGUAUAUAUAUACCAUAUCUUCUUUAUCCAAUCAUCAGUUGAUGGGAACUUAGGUUGCUUCCAUGUCUAGGCUAUUGUAAAUAACACUGCAAUGAACAUAGGGGUGCAUGGGACUUUUGGCAUUGCUGAUUUCAAGUUCUUUGGAUAGAUAACAAGUAGUGGGAUGGCUGGGUCACAUGGGAUUUCUAUUUUUAAUUUUUUGAGAAAUCUUCAUAAUGUUUUCCAUCGUGGCUUCACCAGUUUGCAUUCCCAUCAGAAGUGUAGGAAGGUUCAAUAAAGGGCAUUUUUAAGGGGCACAAAAACUGCUUCAACCUAGAUGAGGAAAGAACUAGUGAAAUUAAAGAUAGAACAAUAGAAAACACACAAAAUUACAUGCAAAGAAUAAAAACGAUCAAAGAAACCAUCAAAGAGUUGGGUACCAAUAUCAAAUAGUAAAAAAUACUAUAAUUUGAAACUCAGAAGCAAAAGAGAAGGAGGUUAGGGCAGAGGGAAUAUGUGUAGAGAUAAUGCCUAAGAACAUUCCGAAAUUAAAAAAGAUACCCAACACAAAUCAAGAAAGCUCAGAAAAUACCAAGCAGAAAGAAAACCUACACACACACACAAUAAAACGCAAAAGAACAAAAGUAAAAGAAAAAAUAUUGAAUACAAGAAUCAUCAUAUAUUGAACAGGGCUUUUCAACCUCAGAAAUAUUGGCAUUUUGCACUGGGUUAUUUUUGUUGUGAGGCACAUUCCUGUGCAUUGUAUGCUGCUUAGCAGUGUCUGUGACCUCUUCACUAUUGAUGCCAGCAGUACUCCCUUGCAGUUGGGAAAAUUAAAGACAUUCCAUGUGUUGUCAGAUGUCCUCUUCAUGCUUGUUGGGAUGGGGAGGAUGCAAUUGAGUAUAAAACCGAUUCUACUUUAGAACAGCUGAUCUAAAGGAAAAAGCUAAGCAUUAUAGCACAUUUCAUUGCAGAAAAUGUGAAAGUCAGAAUAAAUGGACAGAAAGUUGAAAAUGUGAAAGGGGAAACAACAAAAAAAUCAGUCACUCCAGAAUGGUAUACACGUGAAAAUAUCUUUCACAAAUGGCAGACAAAACAACUUUUUUUGAGACUAACAGAAACUGACAGAAUUUAUUACCUGUAGGCAUGUAUUGCUAGAAAUAUUAAAAUAAGUUAUUCAGGGAGAAGGAAAAUACUACCAGACAGGAAAUUCAAGCUACACAAGGAAAUGAACACUGGUAAUUGCACAAUGAAUAAAUGUAUUUUUUUCUUAUUUUUAUUGUUCUAAAAGGCAUCUGAUUGUCUGAAGGGAAAAAGUAGCAUAAAAUGAGAUUUACAGAGUCUGUACAAGUAAAAUAUAUAAUAGUAGCAUGAUAAGAGAACCUGUAAGUUUACUGUUCUUUAAGUCCAUAGAAGACCUAUAAUUUAUUUUAAAAAGGUCUUUGUAAGCUCUUAGAAAACCAUUUUGAUUUUAAAGAAAUAAAAAUAUGAAGUCAAUAGAGGAGG
This 5158-nucleotide long non-coding RNA is filed under the name Equus caballus (horse). RNAcentral's name for it is "lncRNA (ENSECAG00000048833.1)". Lineage: Eukaryota; Metazoa; Chordata; Mammalia; Perissodactyla; Equidae. The record is from RNAcentral.